CAGAAGGCUGUUCUUCUGGUUGUGAGUGCGCUGGGUCAACCCGGUGGUUUUUGGGGGGACAGGCUGAGUGCAUACUCCUGCUUUUCUCUCUAGAAAUCUCAAGCUUUUUCUCCCCCCCCACCUGGGACCCUUCCUACUCUGUCACACAGACGUGACAAGGCAUCUUCCUUAGGCCGGCUGGUGUACGGAAAGCCUGAGUGGUCCUUGGUCUCACGCUGGGUCCCACGGCUGAAGGGCGCUGACAGGGUCAGAGCCCGCUCACCUCACUCACAGAGCUGGGGCACUCAUUUCAGGGUGUGGGGUGGGUGUCCUGGCCGACUGUGAGGUCGUCAUGACCCCGCCCGUAGUGUGCUUCAGUGUGCCCAGGGGGAGCGGGGUAAGGGCGGCACGCAGGCAAUUGCCCCAGGCCCGCGCCGACCAGACUUUUGCUGUGGGAGGCGGAGGCAGGGCUGAGAGUUGCUGUGAGAGCACAUGUCCACCAGAGGGCGCCAGAGCACAGCAGAGCCCCCUGCAGCUCCCUGCUGGCAUUUCCAGGCUCAGAAGGGGAUUGGAGAUGCACCGAUGGGACCCCAAGAGGUGCCUCUGACCCUGUGGCCCAAUUUGCCUCAACUCAGUCAGGGGACGGAAUUCUGCCAUCACACGUCUAAUUCAGUUCCUCUGGUCGGGUGGCCCCAAGGUGAGGGAGCGAGACAGGCUAACUCGGGUCUGAGUGUCCUUUGCUUGUUUUUAGGCAGAAAUCUGGACCCAGAAACACCUGGCUUGAAUGUGCGAUGUGCAGUUUUCUAGAAUAAGCCUGGUGGGGAGCUUGGCUUCUUGGGCUUCAGGGCACGAAUGCACUGUGUCCAUCGGUGGUCUUUUGGGGUGUGGGCUGUGCUCAUGUGGGCUCUUUCUCUCUAGAGAGCUCCACAACCUCGAUCUUCCCCCUGCACCCGAGCCCCUCCAGCCUCUGCAGGACACCCAUUUGAAGGCCGCUGUCUAAAUCCAUGUAAGGUGAAUUAUGGCGGGGUUGUUUAGGAUUCCGAGCAGAGUCCUGGGAAGGAAGGCUUCUGAUUCCAAACCUACUCUCCUGACGUACAUGGGAGGGCUGCUGAUUUCAGGGAGUGGGAUAAGGUCAGGUGUGGUGAGUGGCCUGGCCGACCGUGGACUGUGCGCCACAACCCCCACCAUCGUUAUUCUGAGUGUGAUGAGAGGGAGACGGGUAGGAAAACCAUGCAGGCACGUGGCCCAGGCAAGAGCAGACCAGGGUUCUUCUGGGAGGCAGAGGAAGGGCUGAGGCUGGCAGUUAGAUGCCACGUCCAGCAGGUGGCGCCUGAGUGACAGCCGAGCUCCCCACCAGCUCCCUGACCACAGAACCAAGCCCGGGACAGGGUAGAACAUGAUUGGUGGAGGCCCGAGGAUGUCCCAGACGUUUGCCUUUGGUUACACGGUGCUUCAGCUCAGAGGAUUACGGUUCUCCCGUCACAUCUCAGUUCCAGUCUCUGUGUAAUCGUGUGGUCCAAGGGAUAGAAAGUCUGACAGGCUGCCUAGGGCAUGAGUGCCCUUUGCUUGUUUGAAGUACAACACUGGCUCCAGAAAUCCUUGGCUUAUAUCUUGGGCCUGCAGUGUUUCAGAAUCACGCUGCUGUGACACUUGCUUCUGGAAAGCAAGGCUCUGAGUGGUCAGUGCAGUGCGUCAGUGGGGUGGUACUGGGGGGGGGGCGGUCUUAGCAAUUCUUGUGCCCUUUCUCUCUAGAUACCUCCACCUCUUUCCUCCCCACCUGAGCCUCUUUCUCCUCUGCGGGGGACCCUGUACCAAGGAACCUACCAACAUCCAGGGAAAGUGAAUGACGCCUCAGAGGUCCUGGAUCUCUCAAGCUGGGUGCAGGGCCGAGGGGUGCUGAUGGAUGGCCAGCUGGUUCUGUUUACUGACAAAGUGGGGUGUCAGAUUCAGGGAGUGCGGUGGUCUCGUUUGGGGUGAGGGCCCUGGCUGACUUUGAGAUAGUUCUGCCCCCACCCUGUGCUGCGAGGGAGAGGAGUUAGGAAAUCAGGGCGGCAAGGGGCCCAGGCCAGUGCAGACCAGAGGCCUGCUUGGGAGGCAGAAGGGCUGAGUUGCUGUUAGAGCACAUGGCCACCAGAUGGCGGCCGAGCACUGGCAGAGCUGCUCCUCGGGCAGCUCCCAGACUUGACCUUCAGGCUCCAAGGCAAGGUUGAAAAUGGGUCCUUGGCACCCCUAGGAGAUACCCAGAGUCUUCCGUUUUGGUAUGUGGUGCCUCUGACCCUCUAACCACAUUUGCCUCCUCUGAGAGACGAGAAAUAAUUCUGCCGUCACAUCUGUGGUUCAGUUCCUGCAAGGGUUCCCCAAAGCCUCUGCCUGCCUUCUGCAGCUGAGCUGCUUCAGCCUCUGGGGGACACCCAUUUGAAGGAACCUGUCCAAAUCCAUGUAAGAGAUCUCCUAUUUUUUCCCUCCCACCUGAGGCUCUUCCUCCUCACCAGACACCUGUUCCAAGGAAGCUCCUGCAACAAGGGUGUGGGCUUGUGUCGUGAAGGUUGAGUAUCCAGGGUGACAGUGAAGAAUCCAUACUCCCACCGCAAGAGUGGAUUUCAGUGUGCCUGAGAGGAAGAGGAGUAAGACAUCCUGCUGGCAUGUGCCCCAGGUCUGCCUCUGGAGAAACACGGCAAGCUGGCCCAUGGAACAUGUCACACUCUUGCACCCGGGGCACCUGAUCAGGCUGGACGUGCCCAUCAGAUGCUGAAGGCACAGCUGCGUCCCUGCCCUGAGGUGAGUCCAUUUGGCCAGAGCAGGAGCGGUGCCCUGUCUCCAACCCAAAUCCAUAAGCAUGUUCUGAGUGUCCCACAGCCCAUCUUGAACUGCACCUCUGAGCCUGGAGUCUCAGCCAGGCGUCUGCCAGGGGCUCUGCCUGGGCUGGGGUUCAGCCUGGUGACCUUCAGUCUAACACCACCUCUCAGCCCUUCCUCCUGUUUCUCAGGAGCCCUAGAAGCUACCCUGGCCUGGGGCCCGGGAAGCUCCAUUUUGUUUCUCCUCAGCUGGGGCGCUGAACGAAUGCCCUCGACACUGGGGUCUUUCUCUCUCAGUCCCCCAGAGCGCUCACCCCAACUUACCCCGCCUCAGUACAUAAAAACCUCUGCAUCCCCACCCAUGGGGUACCGAGAGCCUCCUUUAAAUCAGUCCCAGCUGCCUUCCCGCUCAGGACCUUCCCCUAGUUCUGCUCCUUGAAACCGCGAUUGCAGACAGGACAUAGAGGUUCAGAGGGAAGGGGAACAAAGACAUUUGGGGAGAACUCCUGAAAGAUAAAGCCCAGGGAAUCCUGUCUGGCCCCCCAAAUAGCACCACUUUUACAAGCUCCAUUCACGACCACUGGCCCCUUUGGACACGUGAUGCCUUUACAGAGGCUGCAGGUUUGGUAGUUUCAAGGCGAAGAUUCAAGACAGAUAUUGGGGGUCCAGUGUCCUUGCCCCUUGAGAAACAAAAAGCAAACCAACCCCAGAGAACACGUCCACCUCUCUGGCCCCUGGGCAACCAGAGCCGGAUGGAACCACCCAUCAGAGGCAGAAGACACACAUCUUUCUGUUCCCCGAGGUCAGUCAAUUUGUGCCAGAGAGUCAUCUUAACACAUCCUAGGGCUCCCACUAACCCCUCUUGGCACCACCUCGUAGCCUGGAGGUGCAGCCAGGGGGCUUCAGAUGGGCUUUGUCUGUGCUCUGGCCCCUCCCGGAGGUCAUCUCCCCUACCACUGACUCUCAGCCUUUCCUCCGGUUUCCCUCAGCGGCCCCCCAGGGCUCUCCUGGCCUUGGGCAGCUGCCAGCUUGAUGGAAUUCCUCCUCACCUUCUAAGCCCAGUGAAGUGCCCAGAGAGAGGGGUAGAUUCUCAAAGACUCCCAGCACGCACCCCACACCCCAACGUAAGGCCUUCAACCCUCUGUUUUCUCCACCCACAUGUGCCAUGAGAGCAUCCUUUCAAUCGAUUACCCUACUUUAAUUCCCGAGAACCACCUUUAAGUCUGCUCCCUGAACAGGGGUUGGGGACAGGAAAACAAGGCCCCAAGGGAAAGAGAGGAGGGAGUUAGGGGAGGGGUCUGGAAGCACAAAUCCUAGCGAAUUGCACAGUCGCCCAAUCAAAGCAGCACCCCUUUCACGUGCUCCAUUCACGACCACCACCCCUUUUGUCAGCUGACAACCACAUGGAGUGGGAGGCUUGGCAACUGCAAGGCCAAGAUUCAAGACAGACAUUUGGGGUCCAAAGAGUAAUCUUACCCCAGAGAACCCGUCACACUCUCUGGCCCUGGGCCACCCAGGCAGGCCAGAAAUGCCCAUCGGGUGCUGAAGGCACAGCUCUGUCCCUCCCUGAGGUGAGGUGACCUGGGACAGAGUGUUAGAGGCACCCUGUAAGCAGCCCCAGGUCUCUGAGCAGGUACUGAGUGUUCCGACACUCCUUCUGCAACUCCACCCCCGAGUCUGGGUGUGCUGCCAGGCAGGUACACGUGGUCUCUGCCAGUGCUGUGGUGCGGCCUGCUGACCCUCUGCUCUGACUCCAUCUCUCAGCGCUUCCUCCUGGUUCCCUCAGCAGCCCCUGAAGGCACACGCUCCUUGGGCCCUGGCAGCUUGAUUUCAUUGCUCCUCUGCCACCCAACACAAUGAAGUACCCUGGACACUGGGGUAAUUCUCACAGCCCAGAGCACUCACCCCAUCCUAACGGACCCCAAUACAUUCAAACCCUCUGCCUCCCCACCCGCUGUGUCUUGAGAGCUUUAAAUCAAUCCGCUUUCAUUCACAAGACCUGUAUUAAAGUUAGCUCCUUAUGAUACAGAGGUAGAGGC
This is a long non-coding RNA of Sus scrofa (pig), 4813 nucleotides long. RefSeq lists it as uncharacterized. The record is from RefSeq and is a predicted model, not a curated record. Lineage: Eukaryota; Metazoa; Chordata; Mammalia; Artiodactyla; Suidae.